UACGUAGGGGGCAAGCGUUGUCCGGAUUUAUUGGGCGUAAAGAGCGUGUAGGCGGCCGCACAGGUCCGUUGUGAAAACUGGAGGCUCAACCUUCAGAGGUCGACCGAAACCAUCUGGCUAUAGUCCGGGAGAGGAGAGUGGAAUUCCUGGUGUAGCGGUGAAAUGCGCAGAUAUCAGGAAGAACACCCGUGGCGAAAGCGGCUCUCUGGAACGGUACUGACGCUGAGACGCGAAAGCUAGGGGAGCAAACAGG
RNAcentral lists this ribosomal RNA (253 nucleotides) under uncultured bacterium. RNAcentral describes it as "partial 16S ribosomal RNA". It matches the Rfam family "Bacterial small subunit ribosomal RNA", at positions 524 to 776 of the family's 1533-position model. The record is from RNAcentral.